RNAcentral lists this long non-coding RNA (552 nucleotides) under Medicago truncatula (barrel medic). Its description in RNAcentral is "lncRNA gene34158". The record is from RNAcentral. Lineage: Eukaryota; Viridiplantae; Streptophyta; Magnoliopsida; Fabales; Fabaceae.
AUGACGGAUGUUGCAGAGCUGCCACCGCCUCAGAUUGUGCAGGCAUUCGUCGACUUCCGCACUCACACGCUUAAGGCGGCCGAUUGGGGUGAGCAGGCAGGAGAGCAGACAUGACGGACGACGGAUGGCUAUGUGUUAUGGUACACAAGGGUGUCUCACCCUCAGAUUUUGCCACCUCUUCCAAGAGAUCUUCCGAGGCCAGCAAAUGAAGAGCAGAUCAGUGCACAUAAGUGGGAGCGGUAUGACAUGGUUAGUGCCGCUGUUCCAACGUUGAUGCGCAGUUAGGCCAGGAGGAGGUCAUGAGCCCUCAGUAGUGGUUUCAGGCCAUGACCCAUGUUACGGAGCAGAUCGCGCCGAUCUUGACCAGGAGGCGAGGCUAGAGGCCGAGGAGGAGGCACCAGCAACAUCAGCAGGACCAGGACCAGUAGUAUUUUAUGUUUAGGAUAGAUUUUUAGGAUUUGGUGUAUAUUUUCAUGACAUUUUAUUCGUUCCGUUGUAUUUUCAUGACAUUUGUUACUUUGUUGGUAUUUCGAUGACAUAUUUUUAUGAUAA